This 388-nucleotide long non-coding RNA is filed under the name Physcomitrium patens. RNAcentral's name for it is "long non-coding RNA (PPAT_LNC003131)". Lineage: Eukaryota; Viridiplantae; Streptophyta; Bryopsida; Funariales; Funariaceae. The record is from RNAcentral.
GAGAGAUAAAUAAAAUUUUAAGUAUGAUCAAUGAUUUAAUUAAUAGAUAUUGAGGUUCUAAAACUAUCCUAAGAUUGGUUUGAAUUGGUUAGAUUUUGAUUAGGAUUUGUUUAAGAAUUGAUUAGAAUUUAGAAUUUGAUUAGAAUUUGAUUUAGGAUUUGAUUAGAAUUUGAUUUAGGAUUUGAUUAGAAUUUGAUUUAAGAUUUUAUUAGAAUUUGAUUUAGGAUUUAGGAUCUAAUUAGGAUUUAUUUAGAAUUUAAGAUCUAAUUGGGAUUGAUUAAGGAUUUAGAAUUUCUGUAGGAUUUCUUUAAGAAUUUUUUUGGAUCUUUUUUUGGAUUUCUUUAGUAUUUCUUUUUUUAUUUCUUUUAGAUUUUUUUAGGUUUCUUUA